CAUGUAGGCGGUUUUUUAAGUCUGGAGUGAAAAUGCGGGGCUCAACCCCGUAUGGCUCUGGAUACUGGAAGACUUGAGUGCAGGAGAGGAAAGGGGAAUUCCCAGUGUAGCGGUGAAAUGCGUAGAUAUUGGGAGGAACACCAGUGGCGAAGGCGCCUUUCUGGACUGUGUCUGACGCUGAGAUGCGAAAGCUAGGGUAGCGAACG
RNAcentral lists this ribosomal RNA (206 nucleotides) under uncultured bacterium. Its description in RNAcentral is "partial 16S ribosomal RNA". It matches the Rfam family "Bacterial small subunit ribosomal RNA", at positions 568 to 774 of the family's 1533-position model. The record is from RNAcentral.